GAUGAAUGCUGGCGGCGUGCCUAAUACAUGCAAGUCGAGCGAACGGACGAGAAGCUUGCUUCUCUGAUGUUAGCGGCGGACGGGUGAGUAACACGUGGAUAACCUACCUAUAAGACUGGGAUAACUUCGGGAAACCGUAGCUAAUACCGGAUAAUAUUUUGAACCGCAUGGUUCAAAAGUGAAAGACGGUCUUGCUGUCACUUAUAGAUGGAUCCGCGCUGCAUUAGCUAGUUGGUAAGGUAACGGCUUACCAAGGCAACGAUGCAUAGCCGACCUGAGAGGGUGAUCGGCCACACUGGAACUGAGACACGGUCCAGACUCCUACGGGAGGCAGCAGUAGGGAAUCUUCCGCAAUGGGCGAAAGCCUGACGGAGCAACGCCGCGUGAGUGAUGAAGGUCUUCGGAUCGUAAAACUCUGUUAUUAGGGAAGAACAUAUGUGUAAGGAACUGUGCACAUCUUGACGGUACCUAGUCAGAAAGCCACGGCUAACUACGUG
Molecule: ribosomal RNA, 497 nt
Filed under: uncultured bacterium
Lineage: Bacteria
Description: partial 16S ribosomal RNA
Rfam family: Bacterial small subunit ribosomal RNA
Source: RNAcentral